This 897-nucleotide long non-coding RNA is filed under the name Gossypium raimondii (Peruvian cotton). RNAcentral describes it as "long non-coding RNA (GRAI_LNC007098)". Lineage: Eukaryota; Viridiplantae; Streptophyta; Magnoliopsida; Malvales; Malvaceae. The record is from RNAcentral.
UUUAUAAAUUGCCCCUUUUUUGGCAUCAUACGUUAUUAUUCAAUCACAUUACAUUUGUUUUAAAGAAUAUGCCACACUAAAGCAUUAAAAUCAUUUUAUUCCGUAAAUAUUCAAAAUACUUAGUGUAAUAGGCCCAAUUUGCCCAGCCCAUAAUCAAAUCAAAAUAAAAAAAAAUAUAAACCAAACACAAAAAUUAGUCCAUUGGCCCAGAACAUUAAACCCAAAUGGCCCAAUUGCACUUAGCCCCGUUUACUUAAGCCCACUAGCCUGAAUACCCGCAUAAGAGAACAAGAGACCCUAGGGUUUCUGCAAACUCUAGCCGCUGCAGUCAAGCUGAGCCUCCUCCUGCGCAUGUUGCGUUCCUGCGCGUGCAGCGCCUCCGCGCCAGGUCCACACGUACCUUCUCCAGGCUGGCAUCGUACCUGCACAACGGAAGCAACAAACCAGCAACGCAAAAGAAAAACAAAAAAAAUAGCAAGCAAAUAACAGAAAUAGAGAAGAGAUUUUGGAUUUUUUUUUCGAUUUUUAUUUUUCUUCUAUUCGAAUCGGCUAUAUAAGGCCGAUUCCAACACUGUAAACGGGUUACACACACACAGAAUAUCAAUAGAAAAAUCAGACAAAACAAAAGCUGCGUUUUUGGAAGGUGAUUUCUUUUUAAAGUUUUUUUUUUCUUUAUCUAUCGUUCUGUUCUUGUUUCUUUUGGGGAUAUACCUGAAAUAAAAAAGGAAAAGGCAAGGAUCUCACCUUCGCAAGGACGCCAAUGAAGCCCUGUUCGCUCCGUUCAAAUCGAGGCCAGAGGGGUUUCACAUUUGGAGGCGGCAGAGGGGAAUGAUUCGGGUCUAAAGUGGCUAGGGGGACUAAUGAUUUAGGGUUUUUUAUGGCAUUUAUAUUAGUGAA